UGGGGAAUAUUGCACAAUGGAGGGAACUCUGAUGCAGCGACGCCGCGUGAACGAAGAAGGCUUUCGAGUCGUAAAGUUCGUUUAUAUGGGAAGAUAAUGACGGUACCAUAAGAAAAAGCCCCGGCUAACUACGUGCCAGCAGCCGCGGUAAUACGUAGGGGGCUAGCGUUGUCCGGAAUCACUGGGCGUAAAGGGUUCGCAGGCGGAAAUGCAAGUCAGGUGUAAAAGGCAGUAGCUUAACUACUGUAAGCAUUUGAAACUGCAUAUCUUGAGAAGAGUAGAGGUAAGUGGAAUUUUUAGUGUAGCGGUGAAAUGCGUAGAUAUUAAAAAGAAUACCGGUGGCGAAGGCGACUCACUGGGCUCAUUCUGACGCUGAGGAACGAAAGCGUGGGUAGCAAACAGG
RNAcentral lists this ribosomal RNA (403 nucleotides) under Fusobacteriota bacterium. RNAcentral's name for it is "Fusobacteria bacterium partial 16S ribosomal RNA". It matches the Rfam family "Bacterial small subunit ribosomal RNA", at positions 355 to 776 of the family's 1533-position model. The record is from RNAcentral. Lineage: Bacteria; Fusobacteriati; Fusobacteriota.